Oryza sativa Japonica Group (Japanese rice) is the source of this 4258-nucleotide non-coding RNA. The record is from RefSeq and is a predicted model, not a curated record. Lineage: Eukaryota; Viridiplantae; Streptophyta; Magnoliopsida; Poales; Poaceae.
CCAAGUGACCACGUUAUCUCUCGUUCUCUCUCCUUUCUUCUCUCGUCUGCUAGCUCUCAUCUCCUGCUCUGGGACACACCAUUGCAGGCCAGAGCAAUGAAGAUUAGGUUUGUCCUUCUAGAUCCGGUCUCUUCCCCCUCGCUCCUGUCACUGGAUCGGGAGUUGGUCGUCGCGGGGCUGGGGUUGAGAGGAGGGGUGGGGGAGGGGGCGGGCUGGUUGUUGUAGAGAUACGGGGGGUGUCACCAAUAGCGCCAAGAAGGUUGAGGGGAUGGAGGAGAUGUGGCGGUAGCGGCCGGCGGUGAUGAAGAGGUGGCGGAUUUCCUCCCUGCACGCGUAUCUCUGUCCUCUGAGUACAAAUUUGUGGUGGCUUCCUUUGCCUUCUCCUACAGCGACCACCACCCUCCUCCUCAUUUCUCCCACCUCGAGUGCGUCGCUGCUGUCACCCAUCCAGAGCGAUGAUCCAACCCCGAGGCCUAGACUUUUGUAUGGAUACAAUGUAUUAUGUCGAACCACAACCUUUGUACAGCGCUGAGGUAGGCCUGCUGUGCGGUGCUUCGCGUUGUGAAUCGAGGUGUAGCUUACGCGAUGGUGGCGGUCGUGAGAUGACAUUUUAUUUUCCUCGGUGGAUCUGAAUUUUUGGGAGUGGAUUGGAAGUUGAUUAUAUGUUUUAACUGCUGGAAAUAGGUAAGCUCUACGGACUCUUAAGCUACUAUAAGUUGUUUAGAUAACCAUAACAAAUACAUGUUUCAGUACAAUAUAUAUAAACAAAAUAUGGUAGUCAAUUAUCUAUUUCUGAUACAUUGAAGCAUGUCUCUGACAAUUUGGGGCAUACUGCUCUCACAUUCAUUCUCUUGGUACGUCAACAGCUCUACUAAAAAAUGCUUCCUUAGCUCGUAUUCAUCUUGUACAUGCAUUUAUUUAUGCAAGUGAUCAAGGUUACCACUGUAUGUGUAAAAAAAUAAUAGCAUUUAAAUGAUAAAUUCUAGUGUCAUGAUACUUUGCCUUUGUAAUUGGUAACUGCAAUUCUUCAUCAUUCCAUUUGCACAUGAAGAGGGACACAAGAUAACCAGAUAGUUCGCUAAGAAGAUUGAAUUGUUAAUUAAUUUUGUGUUAGGAAAUAAAAUAACUGGUGCUGCGCAUACCGCUCCCUAUCUCUUUGUCUUUUUCAUACAUUGGGAUCCAAGAGUGGGGAUGGUGAUGCAGACAGUGUGGCACCAACAUUAAACAUGUGGGAUGGAGCCGGUAAUCAUAAAAAGAAUUAUGUACUCCCUCUGGGUUGAUAAUACUUGUCGUUUGGACAAGGGCACGGUCUCAAAAAAACAAAUUUGACCAUUAUUUUUUAUUAUAAUAUGUAUAAAAGUGUUAACAAAUAUAUGAUUUUAUUAAAGUACUUUUUAAGACUAAUCUAUACAUGUAGUCAUUAUAUUUAAAAGACAAAUAUUUUAAAAAUGAUUCAUAAUCAAAGAUUCUAAAGUUUGACUUCACCCUUGUCUAAAACGACAAGUAUUAUCAGCCAGGAGGGAGUAGAUGAUUUCGUACUUCCAUCUCAAUAUUAUAAACAUAGUCCAUCUUAAAUUCCAUCUUUUUUUUCAUGAUUGAGUUAGUCUUUAGCACUGAAUCAUUAACAUUGUUUUGAGCACUGAAAAUAACUUAUUUUGCUGCAGCCUAGUUGUUAAAGACAUGUGCACCACUGAUGAUUUCCGUACUUCCAUCUCAAUAUUAUAAACAUAAAGUCCAUCUUCUUAAAUUCCAUCUUUUUUUUCACGAUUGAGUCAGUCUUUGUUGGGAGUUUAUGCAGGGUGCUUAGAAUAUUUGGUACUAUCCUUUAGAAUCAUUACACAAAUGCAACAGACUAUUUUCUGUCUUUGCUGAUGAUUGCUAAUGCAGCUCGAACUUAUGGGAGUAAAAAAGCCCUGAGAAUACUUUGCGUAUGCAUCUUGUUUGAUCGGGCAUUUUUCUUUGAUGCAACUUGAGUUUAUGUUUGUUGAUGACUGUCGUUGAUGGAGCUGCUCCUGCCAAGGUGGCCUUUUUGGCGAUGGAGUAGAACUGUCUGAAUUUUUUUAUCACACCACAAGAACGGAUUUUGUUUGUGGUACCAUUUUUUGUAUAUAUAAAACAUAUUUUGGUUGUAUAUAUAUAGAAUAGGAUGUAUCUACCGUUCUUGUGGUGUUGUUCAUGUGUUUGGAUGUAAUAUGGGGUGUCCUUGUGGUGUUUGGAUAAGGAUCUGUUGGAGUGGGCCUAAAUGUGCCAUGGGCCUGAACAGAUCUGGGGAGUAAAAUUGAGCUACGUGCUAGGGGAUCUGUUGGGGUGGGCCUGAAUGUACCAUGGGCCUGAACAGAUCUACGGACGUGAGAGGGAAUCGGAAAUUGUGGACCGAUCUGGGAGGGAGCGAUCUGGAAGGAAUUGGACAGAAAUAAUCGCGUGUGCACUCGGGAGGAAAUCGGACUAAAAAAUCGCAAUACAGGGUGUGAAUUGGAUUGAAAAAUCAUGCAUUACUGGGACGACGUACGAAAAAUCCCUGACAAAAACAUCUUAAACUUUUAUAAUAGGUAAAGACUAGAAAAAUACCCAUGCGUUGCUACGGGAGGAAAAGACCGUGGAAGCGGGCGUCGUUCUAUGGCAGAGUCCGUAAUGUCAACGAAGGAGUAAUCGUGGCGGAGCUGGUGGAGGUAGUGUCCAGACACCUUGGUGGUUGAUGGCACAUCGCCGACGAAGCUUAGUGCGGCCGACUACAGCAAGACGGCGUCAGGAGCUCUUGCCGGCAUGGCAAGGAAAAGCUUGCUGGCGGCAGCAAGAUGACGACGCACGGCUUGGGAGGGACAGAGCGGCAUGGAAUGAAACAAUUCACGUCCUUGGUGGCAUGUUUUGAAAGUGUUGCGAAUUGAGUGGCACAUCCUGAAGGUGGUGCAAAUCGAAUGGCAUCUUCUAAAAAUUCUCCUAAACCAUUUGUAAUAUGUGAUAAUACAAAUGCCGGCAUGUUUGCAAUGGAAAAAGAUACAAUUGCGUAUGUAAAUCGGGACAUGUUUAUAUGUGUUUUUAAGUGAGACCGUCAUAAAUUUUAAUAUCGAUUCGUCAGUUCCAACAAACAUAUUGUCAUGGGCGGAUCACCCAAAAAAUUCUUAGCCUAACACAUAAAUAUACGUAUGUGAGCAGAAACUUUUGAAAAAAAAGAAGAAAAAAAGCUCGUUUUUAAUAUAUUAUGAUGCAUAUUUGAUCCAUUUAUACUUUUAGCUUUGUUAUAUAUAAGUUGGAUCACCCAUAUAAAAGUUCGAGAUACGUCAUUGGUAUAGUUAAAUCUAUUAUUAAUUAGUCAUUUUCAUUUUUAAGGGAGUAUUGUUUCCAGUUUAUAAAUUAAUUACAUUUGAGGUCAAAUAGUAGUAUUUUUUUGCCUCAACAAAUUGAUUGAGAAAUGAGAAAAAUAAAAGGAAGAGAGGUCUGGUAGGAAAAAAAAUAAAGAAAGAAAGCAGAGCACGAGAACAGAUAAGUCAUAAGUCCCCAUUUUCACUUUCUCCUUCACUUUCCCCAAAUCCAUCCGCUCUCAUCCCGUGUCCUUUACUGCUGUCUAGCUGUCUCCCCCGAUUCAACUCCCCACCACCGGUCACCUCUAGCAUCGCUGUGCUUCUUCCCUGUCUGCUACCCCACACAACAAUCCUUGAGCUCCUUCCCUACUUGCUGCGCCCCAUCUUCCUCUCGUGGCGGCAUCCGGUUAUGCAUCUGGGCUACAGCUCAGCUCAAGUAGUUGACGGGGGCGGAGUGGCCUCGGCAGCGGCGUGGAGUGGAUUCGACGGUGAUGAUCUGCUUCCGAGCCAAGUCUGAUGCCGUGCACGGCCGCCUCCUGGUUCUCUUCCGCACGCAGCCAAGGCCACGACAGCGAGCCUCAACCUUGCGUGGCCCACGAGAAGCAGGCGCAAGGCCGGUUCAGGGUGACGGCUAGGGUGCGUGCAUGGUGGUGCUAAUUCUGUGCUCGCAUCACAUGAUGGCGGUGAUUUGCCAAAUUGGGUUUUGAAAUCAUGCAACGUGCGGCCGAAGAUAGAAACCGGUGAGACAAUGAUUCUGGUGGCUGGAGUUUUGCUUUAUUUGGGUUUGGGAUCUAAUUCGAGGAAAAUUUGGAAUUUAGGGUUUGUGCAAAUUGGGUAUUUUUUCUAGAACCAAUUUUUGUAUUUUUGUAUGUUGUAUAUAUGCAAGUUGUCCUAGUGUAACACGAACCGGUUUAAAUUUAGCCCAAUUUAUGUAAAAUCCUGAUCGGAACCGAUUUGGU